UUUACUGCCACUUUAGACACAUUUAGGACAAAACGGUGCAAAUGGCUCUAAAAUCAUUGGACUUUUUUCCCCUUAAUUCAAAUGAAUUCAUUUAUUUCAUGAAAAAAUAUAUAUAUAUAUAUUGCCGUCUCAUCUCACAUUGAUCACUAAGCAAGUGGCGCCCAUCGAAGUGGCCGCUUUGCAAACAAAUUGCGCAAUAAAUCAAACGGGCAGGGGAGCUCGGUCCCGACAACAACCAUCUGCCCGCACGACCCGUUUCGGUGUCGUCUGUCUGCUUUGGACCUGGAGAUGAAAAAGGCGGCGCGGACUCAUUAGGCCUUAGCAAAGAAGAACAAAAUAACACCUUCUGCAAGAGGAGACGCUCCGGACAAACAAGACGCCUCUCCUGAAGGAACCCGACGACACAUCGGCGUGAUAAUAAGUUUGAACAAAAAGCGCCGAGUCACUUUCUGUCCCCGUCUUGUCAUCUUGACACAGGUUAAAAACAUAAAAGGAUACAGCCUCAAAGCUCCGUUAAGUGUCCCGACAGCCAAGAUUUUCUGUACAGGGUCGAAGGCCAUGGAGGACGGCUGAUGCGGGAAGCCAUGACGCACAGUCUGGGAGAAAGACAAAGCACAAUUGCAAUCAGAGACAACAAGCAGUCAUCUGCCUCAUGAUAAAUAUGAUCGGGACCGAGCAAUAUGGCCUUCAAAUAAAAACCACCGCUUAAUUUACGACUUGCUUGUUUCACCUGCGACCUUUAAACUGACAUUUUCUUCAUCACAUCAUCUUUCCAAUGCAAGGCUCAAAGCAACUAAUGAUUCGAUGGAAGAAUUGGCCAAGCCUUCUCAAGAAUUGCCAGCCAACACGUGUAGACAAACAAGCGGGCGGACAGACAGGUCUUCAACGAGGAAGCCAGUGUCGUCGCGCUGUCAACCAAUCAGAGAAGGGAUUCCCUGAGCGGCAGACAAAUCCAAAGGAGACAUUGGACAGACUGGUCCUGAGGGAAGUGCCCAGGCUGGGUCUGUGUUUUGGAUGGGAAAUGUGAACAGUUGCCACCCGCCAGUAACUGGAUUAACAUUCCACAAUUACAAGAACACA
Syngnathus typhle (broad-nosed pipefish) is the source of this 1080-nucleotide long non-coding RNA. RefSeq lists it as uncharacterized. The transcript has 2 exons. Lineage: Eukaryota; Metazoa; Chordata; Actinopteri; Syngnathiformes; Syngnathidae. The record is from RefSeq and is a predicted model, not a curated record.